RNAcentral lists this long non-coding RNA (520 nucleotides) under Solanum lycopersicum (tomato). RNAcentral describes it as "long non-coding RNA (SLYC_LNC000139)". The record is from RNAcentral. Lineage: Eukaryota; Viridiplantae; Streptophyta; Magnoliopsida; Solanales; Solanaceae.
AACUCUAUUGCAAUAUAUCUAAUGACAAAAGAAAGCACCAUAUAAAGAACAAACUGUCUGGUUUGAAAUUUAGAGCAAAAUGAAGGUAAAACUAAUGAAGUUUUUGCAGAAUCAGAACUCCUAGUAAUAGUUCAGCUUGCGUACUAGGAUUAAUCAUGUUGAUGACAAUCAACUCUCAAACUUCUCACGCGCAUUCCACAACUUCAUUAUGUGUGCAACUCCUUCUUUCAACCCCAUUCUCUCGAUACAGAUAAAAGCACCUCUCUCCCUUAAACCUUGCGUGAAAAUACAUCAAAGCACUAAUUAACUAGAGCAAAGGGAAAAAACAUGAAGAUUGCACAUAAAAUUGUUGUUCAUACAGUUUUGAUUGGCAGGUUGAGACUGAAAUCAUCUUUUCAUGUUAUAGAAAUACUUACAGCAAAAUCGCAUUGCUUCAUUAUAAAUAAAUAUUUAUGAGGAUGAAUUAAAAAGGUAAAAUGCUCACAUGGAUUGCUUCUUUACGGGCUUCCUCCACCUCAUC